ANNNCGGCCCGCGGGAAUUCGAUUAGAGUUUGAUCCUGGCUCAGGACGAACGCUGGCGGCNNNCUUAACACAUGCAAGUCGAACGAUGAUGCCCAGCUUGCUGGNNNGAUUAGUGGCGAACGGGUGAGUAACACGUGAGUAACCUGCCCCUGACUCUGGGAUAAGCGUUGGAAACGACGUCUAAUACUGGAUAUGAUCACUGGCCGCAUGGUCUGGUGGUGGAAAGAUUUUUUGGUUGGGGAUGGACUCGCGGCCUAUCAGCUUGUUGGUGAGGUAAUGGCUCACCAAGGCGACGACGGGUAGCCGGCCUGAGAGGGUGACCGGCCACACUGGGACUGAGACACGGCCCAGACUCCUACGGGAGGCAGCAGUGGGGAAUAUUGCACAAUGGGCGAAAGCCUGAUGCAGCAACGCCGCGUGAGGGAUGACGGCCUUCGGGUUGUAAACCUCUUUUAGUAGGGAAGAAGCGAAAGUGACGGUACCUGCAGAAAAAGCACCGGCUAACUACGUGCCAGCAGCCGCGGUAAUACGUAGGGUGCAAGCGUUGUCCGGAAUUAUUGGGCGUAAAGAGCUCGUAGGCGGUUUGUCGCGUCUGCUGUGAAAUCCCGAGGCUCAACCUCGGGCUUGCAGUGGGUACGGGCAGACUAGAGUGCGGUAGGGGAGAUUGGAAUUCCUGGUGUAGCGGUGGAAUGCGCAGAUACCAGGAGGAACACCGAUGGCGAAGGCAGAUCUCUGGGCCGUAACUGACGCUGAGGAGCGAAAGCAUGGGGAGCGAACAGGAUUAGAUACCCUGGUAGUCCAUGCCGUANACGUUGGGCGCUAGAUGUAGGGACCUUUCCACGGUUUCUGUGUCGUAGCUAACGCAUUAAGCGCCCCGCCUGGGGAGUACGGCCGCAAGGCUAANACUCAAAGGAAUUGACGGGGGCCCGCACAAGCGGCGGANCAUGCGGAUUAAUUCGAUGCAACGCGAANAACCUUACCAAGGCUUGACAUACACCGGAAACGGCCAGA
Molecule: ribosomal RNA, 1011 nt
Filed under: bacterium Q08
Lineage: Bacteria
Description: bacterial SSU rRNA
Rfam family: Bacterial small subunit ribosomal RNA
Source: RNAcentral